This 503-nucleotide ribosomal RNA is filed under the name uncultured bacterium. RNAcentral's name for it is "partial 16S ribosomal RNA". It matches the Rfam family "Bacterial small subunit ribosomal RNA", at positions 28 to 523 of the family's 1533-position model. The record is from RNAcentral.
GAUGAACGCUAGCGGCAGGCCUAACACAUGCAAGUCGAGGGGUAGCAGGAUUAAGCUUGCUUAAUUGCUGACGACCGGCGCACGGGUGCGUAACGCGUAUGCAACCUACCUUAUACUGGGGUAUAGCCCGGAGAAAUUCGGAUGAAUCCACCAUAGUACUAAUGAAUCGCAUGGUUUAUUAGUUAAAGCAUUGCGGUAUAAGAUGGGCAUGGGUCCUAUGAGCUAGAUGGUGAGGUAACGGCUCACCAUGGCUACGAUAGGUAGGGGGCCUGAGAGGGUAGUCCACCACCCUGGUACUGAGACACGGACCAGACUCCUACGGGAGGCAGCAGUGAGGAAUAUUGGUCAAUGGGCGCAAGCCUGAACCAGCCAUGCCGCGUGCAGGAAGAAUGCCCUAUGGGUUGUAAACUGCUUUUAUUUGGGCAUAAACCUCUUUACGUGUAGAGAGCUGAAGGUACCAAAUGAAUAAGCACCGGCUAACUCCGUGCCAGCCGCCGCGGUAA